UGAGGAAUAUUGCACAAUGGGCGAAAGCCUGAUGCAGCGACGCCGCGUGAGGGAUGACGGCCUUCGGGUUGUAAACCUCUUUCGCCCGGGACGAAGCGAGAGUGACGGUACCGGGAGAAGAAGCACCGGCUGACUACGUGCCAGCAGCCGCGGUAAUACGUAGGGCGCGAGCGUUGUCCGGAAUUAUUGGGCGUAAAGAGCUCGUAGGCGGCUUGUCGCGUCGGUUGUGAAAGCCCGGGGCUUAACCCCGGGUCUGCAGUCGAUACGGGCAGGCUAGAGUUCGGUAGGGGAGAUCGGAAUUCCUGGUGUAGCGGUGAAAUGCGCAGAUAUCAGGAGGAACACCGGUGGCGAAGGCGGAUCUCUGGGCCGAUACUGACGCUGAGGAGCGAAAGCGUGGGGAGCGAA
Molecule: ribosomal RNA, 405 nt
Filed under: uncultured bacterium
Lineage: Bacteria
Description: bacterial SSU rRNA
Rfam family: Bacterial small subunit ribosomal RNA
Source: RNAcentral